GGCAUCUGCAGCCACCGGCCAGGCAAAGAAUUACCGAAUUACCACUCAGAGCAUCAGAUGAUUGAUGAAGUCAAGAAUCUGUGGCGGAGCUGCAGGGACCAAUUCCGGAAGGAAAUGCAGCAUCAACACCGCAGUGGGUUGGGCCAAUCCAAGAAAAGGCCCUAUAUGUUUCGGAACUAGCUGAUGUUCCUGCGUCCGGUCAUGGAACUGCGUCCAACGGAGGACAACCUUGAGGAGCAAGCAAAUGAGUCGGCUCCCCAGCAAUCCAGCACCUGCGAGGAGGAGACUCCCUCUGGCCCACCUCCUUCCCAAAGUGCAGAAAGACCCUGCACCUCUGCAGCCUUGCUUCCCGCUGUUUCGGGAGUCGAUUCCCCCCCCACACACACACACUUUGCCCCUACCCAGCUGGCAAAGGAGACUCCUCCUGCCGAAGCUCUAGUCAAUAGCCAGGUCCUGGAUUAUUUGGCUAGAGCCCGGCAGGAGGACCAGUUUGAUUUAUAUGCCAGAAGUCUGGCACCUUAUUUAGUAGUAGGGAACAUUAUGGCCUACCAAGUCGGCCAUAUGGCCAACCAUAUCAGGCCCAGACUUCCUAUGGGCAGCCUGUCUCCUCCUCAUCCCAGGCUGGCCCAUCUGUGCACUCUGGUCCCCCUUCACAACCCUCCUACUAUGGCCCUCAGUUUCCGG
Molecule: long non-coding RNA, 684 nt
Organism: Bufo gargarizans (Asiatic toad)
Lineage: Eukaryota; Metazoa; Chordata; Amphibia; Anura; Bufonidae
Exons: 3
Source: RefSeq, a predicted model, not a curated record